GAACACAAAAUGGCGACACGUGGUUAGCAUUCGUCGCCAACGAGAAAUUGGGGUCGGCCCGAAAGCUCUAGAAUGCACCCCUCUUCCUCCCCGGGGCCUUCCACCUCCGCGAGUUUUAUGACUUAAAAAAGCCCACAGGCUGGUCUGAAGAGGAAGACAAACAUAAAGAUGAAGUGCUUAAUUCAAGGUCACACAAUGUCGGGGAUGGACCUCCAGAUUUCCUUACUGGAAAACAAGCUCAGGGCUCCCACUGAUUGUACAUUAUGGUGAGACGUGGUCUUGUAACACAGUGGUUAAGAAUGUGACUUUGGAGCCAGCCUGCUAGGGGCUGAAUUCUGACUCAGCCAUUUACUAACUGUGUGACCUUAGGUAAGUCAUUUACCUUCUUUGUCCCUCAGUUUCAUCUCGGUUAAGUAGGGAUAAUGAUAGCACCUAUUUUAUAGGGUUAUUGUGAGGAAUAAAUCCAAGUAAAAUGCUUAGAAUAGUAACUGAAACAUAGCACUCAUUAGGAAUGCUUUAAUUUUCAUUUAUUUGAGUAUUAAAGGUUGAAUUUUCAGAGGUAUUUUGGACCUUUGUAUUUUUUCUUUAAAUCACUUAUUCAUGACUUUUGAACUUUUUUUUUUCUUUUAGAGACAGGGUCUUGGUUUGUUGUCUAGGCUGGAAUGCAGUGGUGCAAUCAUAGCUCACUGUAGCCUUGAACUCUUGGGCUCAAGAGAUCCUCCUGCCUCAGCCUCGUGAGUAGCUGGGCCUACAGGCGCCUGCUACCACACCUGGCUAAUUUUUUAUUUUUUGUAGAGAUGGGUUCUUGCAGCCCAGACUGGUCUUGAGCUUUGGCCUGAAGUGCUCCUCCUGCCUUGGCCUCUCAAAGCAUUGGGGUUACAGGUGUGAAGCACUGCACCUUGCCUACACAUUUUUUCCAAUAAUUUUUUUUAUUAAUUUGUAAGAGUUAACAUGUCGACUAUCAUAUAUAACAUAGAAUUGUUCCCAUUUUGUCAUUUCCUUUCAACUUUGUCUAUGUAGCUUUUUUUCUGUGUGCAAAUUUUACAUUUUUAGGUAGUCAGAAAAUCUCUUCCCUUGUAAUUUUUUCUGCUACUAGACCAAUGUUUAGAAAAAAGCGUGCUUCCCCACCUCAAAAUUAUAAAAAUAGUUACUUGUUCUUUUUGAGUACUGUGUGUGUUUAAAUCUUUAAUCUUUAAAUUUAAAUCUUUGAUCCAUCUGGUAUUUAUUUUGAUAUGAAGAGAGUGGUUGGGAUCUGGCUGUAUUUCUUUUUUCUUUUUUUUUCUUUUUUCUUUUUUUGACGAAGUCUCACUGUUGCUCAGGCUGGAGUGCAAUGGCAUGAUCUCGGCUCAUCACAACCUCUGCUUCCUGGGUUCAAGCGAUUCUCCUGCCUCAGCCUCCCGAGUACCUGGGACUACAGGCACUCGCCACCAUGCCCGGCUGAUUUUUGUAUUUUUAAUAGAGAUGGUUUCACUAUGUUGGCCAGGCUGGUCUCGAACUCCUGACCUUGUGAUCUGCCCACCUCAGCCUCGAAAAGUGCUGGGAUUACAGGCGUGAGCCACUGCGCCCAGCCUUGUAUUUUUUUUCAGUUUGGGUAGCUGUCCCUAAUUCAUUUGUUAAAGGAGAAGCAAGAGCAAGAACCUUUAAUCUGUUCUCCUCUUCCCUAAUUUGAAAGUAGCUUGUUAUUUUGAAUAUCACUUUCUCUGAAAUAGCACAUCUCCAUCUCAGAGAAUGGAUUUAAUGUUUGGAUACAGCCAAAAGUCAUUUCAUUACCAAACCAUGGGGUGAAUAUACCAUGUAAAGCAGUUUGGGAUCAGAACUCACAGUCUGAAUUGUAAGUGAUGAGACUGCUGUCUCUCUGCUACAGCUUCUUGGCUGGCUCUGAAGGCUCUUUGAAGGCAGAUCCUAACAAGGGGACUGCUUUGAAGGGCCAUUGUUCAUUUGGAAUGAUAAAGUCUAUGUUGUUCAAAAAACAAAUGCUUGUAGCAGGUAUUUUUUCACUCCAGACUGAGAAUAUUGGUGGGAUAUUGAUAAGGGGUACUGAAUGGUAAUAAACAUGUGCUCUAGCUCUGUGCUAGUCAGCUUAUUUCAGAACUCUAGUUUGAUUCAGUUUCUUGCCUCUGACUCAAAAUGGAGGGAGAGUGAUUUUUACAUAAGAGAACACACCCACAUAUCCUUUUGGCAGCAGCUACCUGCCAGAGAUGUUGAAGAAGAGUAGCCAACCUUUACACAGCAGAUAUUGUGUGCCAGUCAUAGUCCUAAGUAUAAUACCUUACAUGUAUAAACUUCUUAUAAGGUUGGUGCUCUGUACCGAAUUGAAUAGUAUCCCCCAAAAUUCAUGUUGUCCCAGAACCUAUGAAAGUGAUCUUACUUGAGGGAGGGGGGAGGGGGGAGGGAUAGCAUUAGGAGAUAUACCUAAUGCUAAAUGACGAGUUAAUGGGUGUAGCACACCAGCAUGGCACAUGUAUACAUAUGUAACUAACCUGCACAUUGUGCACAUGUACCCUAAAACUUAAAGUAUAAUAAUAAUAAAAUAAAAAAAAAAAAGAAAGUGAUCUUACUUGGAAAUAAGGUCUUUGCACAUAUGAUCAAGUUGAGAUGAAGUUGUACUGGAAAGUCUGUCUAGUGACUGGUGUUGUCAUAAGAAGAGAGGGACACAGAGGGAAGAUGGCCACAUGAAGAUGGAGGCAGAGAUUGCAGUUAUGCUGCUGCAAACUAAGGAAUGGCUCUGGCCCUCCAAGGAUUGCUGAUAACCACCAGAAACUAGAAGAG
This 2769-nucleotide long non-coding RNA is filed under the name Homo sapiens (human). Its description in RNAcentral is "PCBP1 antisense RNA 1". Lineage: Eukaryota; Metazoa; Chordata; Mammalia; Primates; Hominidae. The record is from RNAcentral.